RNAcentral lists this ribosomal RNA (274 nucleotides) under uncultured bacterium. Its description in RNAcentral is "partial 16S ribosomal RNA". It matches the Rfam family "Bacterial small subunit ribosomal RNA", at positions 523 to 796 of the family's 1533-position model. The record is from RNAcentral.
AUACGGGUGGUGCGAGCGUUGUUCGGAAUUACUGGGCGUAAAGGGCGCGUAGGCGGCGAUGUAAGUCAAAUGUGAAAGUCCUCGGCUUAACCGGGGAAGUGCAUCUGAAACUGCAUUGCUUGAGUAUGGGAGAGGAAAGUGGAAUUCCCGGUGUAGAGGUGAAAUUCGUAGAGAUCGGGAGGAAUAGCGGUGGCGAAGGCGACUUUCUGGACCAAUACUGACGCUGAGGCGCGAAAGCGUGGGGAGCAAACAGGAUUAGAAACCCUAGUAGUCC